GUGGGGAAUAUUGCACAAUGGGCGAAAGCCUGAUGCAGCAACGCCGCGUGAGUGAUGAAGGUCUUCGGAUUGUAAAACUCUGUCUUUUGGGACGAUAAUGACGGUACCAAAGGAGGAAGCCACGGCUAACUCCGUGCCAGCAGCCGCGGUAAUACGGAGGGUGCGAGCGUUGUCCGGAUUUAUUGGGUUUAAAGGGUGCGUAGGCUGGAAGGUCAGUCAGCGGUGAAAAGCUGUCGCUUAACGAUAGUCUUGCCGCAGAUACUUCCUUUCUUGGAUGAGGAGGAGGCCACUGGAACGGAUGGUGUAGCGGUGAAAUGCAUAGAUAUCAUCCAGAACACCGAUUGCGAAGGCAGGUGGCUGUACCUUAAUCGACGCUGAUGCACGAAAGCAUGGGGAGCAAACAGGAUUAGAAACCCGGGUAGUCC
RNAcentral lists this ribosomal RNA (425 nucleotides) under uncultured bacterium. Its description in RNAcentral is "partial 16S ribosomal RNA". It matches the Rfam family "Bacterial small subunit ribosomal RNA", at positions 354 to 796 of the family's 1533-position model. The record is from RNAcentral.